Molecule: ribosomal RNA, 454 nt
Filed under: uncultured bacterium
Lineage: Bacteria
Description: partial 16S ribosomal RNA
Rfam family: Bacterial small subunit ribosomal RNA
Source: RNAcentral
GAUGAACGCUGACAGCAUGCUUAACACAUGCAAGUCGACUUGAACUUCGGUUCGGGUGUCGGACGGGUGAGUGACGCAUAAAGAACUUGCCUCACAGCUAGGGACAACAUUUGGAAACGAAUGCUAAUACCUGAUAUUAUGAUUUUAGGGCAUCCUAGAUUUAUGAAAGCUAUAUGCGCUGUGAGAGAGCUUUGCGUCCCAUUAGCUAGUUGGAGAGGUAACGGCUCACCAAGGCGAUGAUGGGUAGCCGGCCUGAGAGGGUGAACGGCCACAAGGGGACUGAGAUACGGCCCUUACUCCUACGGGAGGCAGCAGUGGGGAAUAUUGGACAAUGGACCAAGAGUCUGAGCAAGCAAUUCGGGGUGCAGAAGGAAGUUUUUCGGAAGGAAAAGUGCUUUGAGUUGGGAAGAGAAAAAUGACGGUACCAACAGAAGAAGUCACGGCUAAAUACGUG